This 338-nucleotide ribosomal RNA is filed under the name uncultured Glomeromycotina. Its description in RNAcentral is "LSU rRNA". Lineage: Eukaryota; Fungi; Glomeromycota. The record is from RNAcentral.
UUGAAAGGGAAACGAUUGAAGUCAGUCGUACCUGUGGGUAAUCAGCCUUUUGGGUGUGAUUUUGUGGAGUGUGAGGAGUUAAACGCCUUCAUGCCUGCAUAUUCGUGCACUUUGGGUGUAUUUACCCGUGUGGUAAGUUACCCCCACUUUCGGUGGUCAUAAAAUGGCUGGAGGAAUGUACCUUCGACUUGUAUUGAAGUGUUAUAGCGUUCGGUAGAUGUGAUGAUCGGGAUUGAGGAUUGCACCGGAUACCCCUCGGGCCAACCGGCCGGAUCUCUGAUGGUCGCUCUGGCCCGAUUGAUUUCAUAUGGGACCAAUUCGUUAAGGAUGUUGACGUA